AGCAGCCGCGGUAAUUCCAGCUCCAAUAGCGUAUAUUAAAGUUGUUGCAGUUAAAAGCUCGUAGUUGAAUUUUGGAUUCUACCAAUUGGUCCAUCUUUGGAUGAGUACUGGUUGUGUGGGGUCUUACCGCCUGGUAAUACGUAAUGUCCUUUAUUGGAUGUUGCGGGUAGCCAGGACUUUUACCUUGAAAAAUUAGAGUGUUUAAAGCAGGCUUAUGCCGGAAUACAUUAGCAUGGAAUAAUAGAAUAGGACGAAGUUGUUUUAUUUGUUGGUUUCUAGGACAACCGUAAUGAUUAAUAGGGAUAGUUGGGGCAUUAGUAUUCAAUUGUCAGAGGUGAAAUUCUUGGAUUUAUUGAAGACUAACUACUGCGAAAGCAUUUGCCAA
RNAcentral lists this unclassified non-coding RNA (385 nucleotides) under uncultured Glomus. Its description in RNAcentral is "SSU rRNA". It matches the Rfam family "Eukaryotic small subunit ribosomal RNA", at positions 569 to 961 of the family's 1831-position model. Lineage: Eukaryota; Fungi; Glomeromycota; Glomeromycetes; Glomerales; Glomeraceae. The record is from RNAcentral.